Molecule: ribosomal RNA, 494 nt
Filed under: Oreina speciosa
Lineage: Eukaryota; Metazoa; Arthropoda; Insecta; Coleoptera; Chrysomelidae
Also listed under: 1 other name
Description: partial 16S large subunit ribosomal RNA
Rfam family: Bacterial large subunit ribosomal RNA
Source: RNAcentral
UAAUUUAAGGUCUAGCCUGCCCACUGAAAUUUUAAAUGGCCGUGGUAUUUUGACCGUGCUAAGGUAGCAUAAUCAUUAGUUUUUUAAUUAAAAACUGGAAUGAAAGGUUGGAUGAGAAAAUAGCUGUCUCUAUUAAAUUUAAUUAGAAUUUUAUUUUUAAGUUAAAAAGCUUAAUUAUUAUUAAAAGACGAGAAGACCCUAUAGAGUUUAAUUAUUUAGUAAAAAUUAUAUUUUAGUAUUAAUUUAUUUAUUUUAUUAAAUAAUUUAAUUGGGGUGAUUGAAAAAUUUAAUUAACUUUUUUUAUUUAAGAACAUUAAUUUAUGAAUAAAUGAUCCAAUAUUUUUGAUUAUAAGAUAAAAUUACCUUAGGGAUAACAGCGUAAUUUUUUUAGAAAGUUCAUAUUAAAAAAAAAGAUUGCGACCUCGAUGUUGGAUUAAAAUAAAUUUUUGGUGUAGAAGCUAAAAUAUUAGGUCUGUUCGACCUUUAAAAUUUUA